UGGCAACCCACUCCAGUGUUCUUGCCUGGAGAAUCCCAGGGGUGGCAGAGCCUGGUGGACUGCUGUCUAUGGGGUCGCACAGAGUUGGACAGGACUGAAGCAACUUAGCAGCAGCAGUAGCAGAAUUGAAAAAUCAUAGAAAAUUGGGAAGAUUUUAAAGCACAUCUAUGUCCAAAAGCAUUAUAGGCAUUUUGGUGAACCAGAAAUACAAAGUGAUAAGUGCACUGAACUUGUAAGCCAGAACUUGAGUUCUAGGUCUGGAAGCAAGAAAGACCACCCAGAAAUUUCAAAUCUUAAAGAGUAAGAAGCCACAGUCUGACUUGAACGUUCCUCACUUUUGAUACUAAGAUGCAGCAACAACCAGUGCCUAGGACUGUAACUUAUAUUGAUUAUAGCCAGGUCUUGCCUGAGCCAGAGCCUCCUCCUUUGUGAAACAGAUCUAUGUAGGUUUUCAGUAGCCCCACUCUUACCACAGGACCAGAGCCCUGAGUGUGGACAGGUGGUAGAAGCAAUCAUAAAAGGCAAGAAGAGAGUGGAGAUUGGGAAGGGAGGAAGAGAAGAGCAGGAAGACUCAUAAGAGGAGCCUGCAAACAAAAAUUCUAAAGUACUUGAAGAAAAUGAAAAAUUCUAAGGAAGACAGUCAGCAGUCACUCAAGCUUCAACGUUGCUGUUCUGUGUCUGUUGCCUCAUGGUCACAAGAUGGCUGCCACAGCUCCAAAUAUUUUACCUUCAUACAUCCCAAACAAGGUGGUAAGGGCAGCUCUCAGCCUUUUAUCAGAGAGAAAAAAAAAAAAUAUUUCCCAGGCUCUCCCAUUACUCCCUCCCACUCUAUCCCCAACUUAGUCUUAUUAGAAAAAACAAGGUCAGAGACCUACCCUAAAACUGACUAGCUAAGAUUCCUGAUUCAUUUUUUAUAGCUAUGGGAGGGGGCCCAUUUUCAGGAGCAUGUGAUCAUCUACCUAAAAUAAGUCCCAUAACCUAGAGAAGAUACAAGGGACUUAAGAUUUAGUGCCCACUCUUGAGAGAAGCUCACAGUCUUAUGAAGAACUAAUUGUGUGUUCUUUGAGAAGUGCCAAAUAGAAGUAUAUGUGACAUACUAUCUGGAAGGAAAACGGGGAGAAUUCACACUGAGGAUCCAAGAACUGGGCAAAAGAAGGUUCUUCCUGUUAACUAAGGCAAAAUGAUAACCUGUGGUUUGCCUUCCCCCUCUAGAGAAAAAUCAGAUAUUAUUGAAUAUCAUAAAUGCAAAUUGCCUCAGUACCUGCUACUGUCAUAGAAGACCAAAAUUUUUGAUUUUUGUUAAGACUGUAGAGAUUUAUUUUGACAAACAUUGCUAUAAAUGAAUUUUAAACAAUUAGAAUUACAGAUUUUGUGGAUGGGAUAAUUUAUCAAUAGUAUAUAAUCUGAAAUUUUUAAAAAAUAUGUGUAUGACCAUCCCUGGAUCUCUAAUCUGCGCAUAGGUUUAGAAAGGGAAAAACAAAAAGACUAUGAUUUUCUAGAUUUUAUGUCUAAGAAGUACUUGAUUUGGGAGAGAAAGGAAAAUAAUUUUGUAAAUGAAAUACAUCAUGAGGAUGGUAUUACUACCAUAUAUAGAAUAUUCUCUUGCACUAAACCCUGUGCUAAAUACUGCAUGUAUAUUUUGGUUUUCUCACUGUAACAAUUCUGAAAGAAUAUUGUUUUUCAAGUGAAAAUUUUAGCUCAGAGAUCAACUGGUAGGAGUAAUAGCUAAUAAUAGGAAAAGCUGUAAUUAACUUGGUUCCAAAGCCUAGUUCUUAACUAUGACACUGUAUCUAAAGAUACUUCUUCAAAUUACCUGCUGUAUUAGUUUGAUUUGCUGGCUUCUUUGAAAUGUUCUUUCUGGCUUAAAAUUAAGGUUGAUUUUUGUGGGAAUUUUCUUUCUGUGUAACUUAUCCUUAUAUUUUUUAUACUUCCUUUGCAUUUUUAUUUUGGGAUUUUGCUGUAUUUUGUGACUUUCCUCUAAACAAAUUCCUUUCCCUUCUCUCUAUCCUUGGAAAUAUAUGCCCUCAUGUAUUGGAAAUCAAGGGGGAAGUAAGAUUUAAAUAGAAAAUUUUAUUUUGAACAUAGCCUUUCAAGCAUGUCUUACCAGGUAUACCUAAUCAUAUCUACUUUAAAAUCACCUUUUAAAUGUCACUAGGAAAUAAAAACUAGACAAAAAAUGUUUUGUUGAACAAAUGAUAAAUUGCCUAAAAUAUGUCAGUGUCUGUGCCGGGAGUUAGAGAAAAUGUCUGCCAUUUUGAAAUUUUACAGUAUGAUGAGGAAGAGAUGCACAAUGAACAGGAUUGCAGGAUGCAGUCACUGUAGCAGAGACCGCUCUUUGCCACUAGCACAUUCUCUUAGCCAUCUGCACAAAAGACAUUUACCAGCUUCCCUCAUAGCUAAGUGGAGCCACUUACCAAGUACUCAGCCAAAAA
Molecule: long non-coding RNA, 2432 nt
Organism: Bubalus bubalis (water buffalo)
Lineage: Eukaryota; Metazoa; Chordata; Mammalia; Artiodactyla; Bovidae
Exons: 2
Source: RefSeq, a predicted model, not a curated record